Papaver somniferum (opium poppy) is the source of this 589-nucleotide long non-coding RNA. RefSeq lists it as uncharacterized. NCBI's taxonomy places the organism in Eukaryota, Viridiplantae, Streptophyta, Magnoliopsida, Ranunculales, Papaveraceae. The transcript has 2 exons. The record is from RefSeq and is a predicted model, not a curated record.
UUUAAAUUCUUCUUCAUUAAUUACUACUAUAUUAUGCUUUCCAAAAUUACUAAAUGUUUCUUCAGUCCUAGAACUUUUUAUUUCUUUUAGGAAAAAGAAAAAAAGUUUAGCAGGCAGAAGAAUUUCGUGGAGUAAUUUUGGCCAUUUCGGACAAUAUAUACAACUGGUGUAAAAUCAAUGGACGAAAAGCAUGAUAACAUAGCAAAACUCAGGGUACCACCACAACUUGAACUUGAUAUGCAUGCAAUCAAAAAUCAUGAGCACGCGUCGCUGUUGAUAAUGUCACCCGCAAAUCACCGAAACAGACAUCAUCAAAAGGAGAACGUACUUCGAAGCGCGAGAGUGAAUUGCCUGUGUUCCCCUACAACUCAUGUUGGUUCUUUUAGGUGCCGGCACCACCGUAAUUCCCCUCGACCUCGUGGCAGUGACUCCAUUGGUUCGAACCUCUCCGAGCUAGGUGCUAAAUCGGGUGGAGUGAGUGAUACUGUGCAAGUUUAAUGGAAAUUUCAUUGUGUAUGUAAUUUGGUUGGAAAUUUACGCACAUAAUUUAUUUUAACCCGAUUACAGCAUUUACUUUUGCCUUUUGGGA